AAACAUUUUCAGCAAGUGGAAAGUUUACCAGACAAUAAAACUAGCAAAGAGAUGUACUACUUUUGGGUUUGGUAUGGCAAAUCUGAUGAGAUCCCAGGGGCCAGUUCCAAGUUCCAACAGGUAAUUAGAUUAAUGCUGGCCAUUUACGAGCUGUGGGGCCUAUUUUAAUGUUUUAUGCAAAUUAAAUUUGUUCACUGUGAUUUCCUUUGAAUAUUAUCUCCCUUCCUCUUUGUGUGAGAAAAUAGGAAAGUAUCAACAUCCAGGAUGAACGCAAAAAGUAAUGAGGCAAGCAAUCGAAAAUCUACCUGCCAACCAAUACCACGGCUAAGAAUAGAUGGCGGCAGU
Molecule: long non-coding RNA, 345 nt
Filed under: Citrus sinensis (sweet orange)
Lineage: Eukaryota; Viridiplantae; Streptophyta; Magnoliopsida; Sapindales; Rutaceae
Description: long non-coding RNA (CSIN_LNC002848)
Source: RNAcentral